This 497-nucleotide ribosomal RNA is filed under the name uncultured bacterium. Its description in RNAcentral is "partial 16S ribosomal RNA". It matches the Rfam family "Bacterial small subunit ribosomal RNA", at positions 28 to 507 of the family's 1533-position model. The record is from RNAcentral.
GAUGAACGCUGGCGGCGUGCCUAAUACAUGCAAGUCGAGCGAACGGACGAGAAGCUUGCUUCUCUGAUGUUAGCGGCGGACGGGUGAGUAACACGUGGAUAACCUACCUAUAAGCCUGGGAUAACUUCGGGAAACCGGAGCUAAUACCGGAUAAUAUUUUGAACCGCAUGGUUCAAAAGUGAAAGACGGUCUUGCUGUCCCUUAUAGAUAGCUCCGCUCUGCAUUAGUUAGUUGGUAGGGUAACGGCCUACAAAGGCAAGGAUCAAAAGCGGACCGGAAAGGGUGAUGGGCACCACUGGAACGGAGACACGGUCCAAACUCCUACGGGAGGAAGCAGUAGGGAAUCUUCCGCAAUGGGCGAAAGCCUGACGGAGCAACGCCGCUUGAGUGAUGAGGUUCUUCGGAUCUUAAACCUCUGUUAUAAGGGAAGAAGAUAUGUGUAAGUAACUGUGCACAUCUUGACGGUACCUAAUCAGAAAGCCACGGCUAACUACGUG